GCUGGAGUGGCGCAAUUGGUAGCGCACCGGUCUUGUAAACCGGCGGUUGUGGGUUCGAGUCCCAUCUCCAGCU
Molecule: transfer RNA, 73 nt
Filed under: Corynebacterium marambiense
Lineage: Bacteria; Bacillati; Actinomycetota; Actinomycetes; Mycobacteriales; Corynebacteriaceae
Also listed under: 2 other names
Description: Corynebacterium sp. CCM 8864 tRNA-Thr
Rfam family: tRNA
About the family: Transfer RNA (tRNA) molecules are approximately 80 nucleotides in length. Their secondary structure includes four short double-helical elements and three loops (D, anti-codon, and T loops). Further hydrogen bonds mediate the characteristic L-shaped molecular structure. tRNAs have two regions of fundamental functional importance: the anti-codon, which is responsible for specific mRNA codon recognition, and the 3' end, to which the tRNAs corresponding amino acid is attached (by aminoacyl-tRNA synthetases). tRNAs cope with the degeneracy of the genetic code in two manners: having more than one tRNA (with a specific anti-codon) for a particular amino acid; and 'wobble' base-pairing, i.e. permitting non-standard base-pairing at the 3rd anti-codon position.
Source: RNAcentral